UGCCAGCCGCCGCGGUAAUACGUAGGUGGCAAGCGUUGUCCGGAUUCACUGGGCGUAAAGCGCGCGCAGGCGGGCCAAUAAGUCCCGGGUUAAAUUCCACGGCUCAACCGUGGGCAGCCCCGGGAUACUGAUGGCCUUGAGGCAUCCAGAGGAGAGUGGAAUUCCCGGUGUAGUGGUGGAAUGCGUAGAUAUCGGGAGGAACACCAGUGGCGAAAGCGGCUCUCUGGGGAUGUUCUGACGCUGAGGCGCGAAAGCGUGGGGAGCGAACCGGAUUAGAUA
RNAcentral lists this ribosomal RNA (279 nucleotides) under uncultured bacterium. Its description in RNAcentral is "partial 16S ribosomal RNA". It matches the Rfam family "Bacterial small subunit ribosomal RNA", at positions 506 to 784 of the family's 1533-position model. The record is from RNAcentral.